Misgurnus anguillicaudatus (oriental weatherfish) is the source of this 3012-nucleotide non-coding RNA. Lineage: Eukaryota; Metazoa; Chordata; Actinopteri; Cypriniformes; Cobitidae. The record is from RefSeq and is a predicted model, not a curated record.
CGUGAGUUUUUAAUUUAAAAUGUCUUAACUUAACUCGGAAGGAUCUGAAUGACAGGUCAUUUCAUCUGAGAUCAUUCCGCAUGUAACAGCCGGAAUCACUCACUGUUUCCCACAACGACACGAGUCAUCAGCCGUUUCCUCAAGGUCACGUCAGAGGGGUGGUGAUGUGGAGAGGCAGACCAGACCACCACCAUACGCGAAGAUGAGCCUCGAGGCUUGACAGUUAUUUUUUCAAACUGAGGAGUUCGGACUCCGGACCGUCAUUUCUGCUUGUUUGUACCCUGAGGUAAGUAAACUUUCUACAUUUUUGAAACGAUAUUACUGAAAUAUUUAGUAUAAUUAGUUAAUAUUUAUUUUGUUAGAGUAGGUCUUGUGCUAAAUAGUGAUACUAGAAGCUACAUUUAUAAUAUUUACCUCAGUUAAAAAAUACUGCUGGUAACGUUAAAGCACUGACGGGCUUCGUCAACCGUCAGUUAUAAAAGCUCUGUUAAAUACAUUUUGUUCCUGGUUUUAAUGAAUUACGUUACAGUCCUGCUUUAUUUCUUUGUCAUUUUCAAUUAAAUUGCCAAGCACAAUAAGACAGCUGUGUUGUAAGGAGACGAAAUUCGAGACAGGGGUGUUAUUUCAAUGAAGCGCGUGGUCAAAGGAACCGGGUGGAAGACGGUGGAAGGGAAAUUAUAUGUAAAUGUUUGUCGCAGUUUUACACAUAUUCCGUGAGUAUUUUUCGCUUGUUCACGAGUGUUUUAUCAGGGUUGGAGCUAAACCUUGAAGGAAAGUGGAAACUGCUGGCCACAGUUAAGAACUUUCUGCUGGUCUGUAUUAUAAAUGCACGAUUGCAGUGCAGCGUUUGUAUCCGCAAGUCUAGAUAUGCAUGUUUUCUGUGAUGCACACAAUUAAUUAAUGUGAUGGUAGCUGUUAAGACACUUACAUUUAACAUUCAAAUGUUUUAAAAACCAAACGUGUUCAGGUUUUUAUGUGUAUUUGGUUUGUGAAGUGUAAUUUUUUUUCCUCUCCCUCACAGAUAACCAUGGUUAAUAAAUGGUCAGACACGUCAUUGUCUUAAAAUAUAAACCCCAUUGAUGCAAAAAGAUGCUGCAUGGAAUGACAAUGUGGUUUGGAACAGACUUGGUGAAGAACAUGGAAACAUCUCUUAAUAAAAUGGCCCCAAACAUCAUCAGGAGUGCAAAAGAAGGAAGUAAAAACAUCUCUAUGCCAAUCUCAUUGGAGAGGAAACCACAGAAGGUCUGGUGAGGAAUGCUGCACUUAUGUUAUUGCAAGCAUUAUUUCAAGAAAAUCCCAGCUUCCUUUACUGUGUAAAUAGUGAACCCAAAGGUCCCACACCAACCAUAGUGUUCAACGGCUCUCCUGAUCUUUUCAAAUCUGAAUGUAUCAACUUUAUAAUGGACAAUGUGAACUUAAUAUGUGGAAGACAUUGACAUCACAGGCUGUGGAAUGACUGUGUCACAGGUCGGAGAAGCGGACCGCCCCUGUCGCGGAUCACGCUCCUCCUAGUUCCACCUCGAGGAGGUCCCAAAGCACCCCAAUGACCAGACAAACCAGAGGGGGAGUAUUACGGGGCCAGGGACGUUGGAGGGGUUUCCACGUGACUCCAGCUGGAACACCGCUACAGAGCGUAUCUGGGUGGGUUGGGCACACACCGUCGCGGCGGCCCCUGAUGGCAUCCACAAGGGUCCAAGACCCUCCUAAGCUCCUAGCCAUAGCAGAACUACGUAUUUCAGCACCCGAAGGACUAACAACCCAGCCGGCAUCUGCAGCGUAUAUCCAACGCGAUCAAACUUCACUCUGACAAGUAACUUCCUAUACACAACCACGCCGUCCUUUCGCCCGGACCAGCCCCGCACUCUUUCCGCCCGCUACCUAGCGGUCGCCGGAUCAGCAGAGCCUGCGGACUCUUCGGAGGCUGGUCUUCUUUGUGCUGCCCAAGGCGGAAGUUGACUCGCCCGAAAAUCGACCCUUCCAGUAACUUCUACCUUCUCUCUUUAUAUCCUCCUCCCAGGCGUGGCUCGCCCAACCAUCGCUCGCCACGUCACUCACACAGCUGUGCCUUGUUUCAGCGAGUGCGGGGAUUCCCGGGGAACCCUGAAGUGCCGGUGUCUGUACAAACCGGUCCGGGCGGAACCUCUUCACUCUCCUUUUGGUUCCGCCCCGCAUAGUCACUCCGUGACAACUGUUUGCGUUUUUUUUUCUCCUCAAUGUUCAAUACCCUUUUGCCAUUAAGCACACAGUGACUUUAAUUUAUAAAAUAUAUGCUUAAGUUUUAAUACCUGUACAAAACAAAUGUACAAUCAACUUAAAUUGUCAUUCUAUUUAAUAGAUUGUUCAUGAAUUGUCUUUAAAUGCAUUGUGAUUUCGGUAACACUUUACAAUAAAGUUCAUUAGUUAACAUUAGUUAAUGUAUUAACUAACUUGAACAAACCAUAAGCAAUACAUUUGUUACAGUAUUUAUUCAUCUUUGUUAAUGUUAGUUAAUAAAAAUUUAAGCUUUAAUUGCUUGUUCAUGUUAGUUCAGAGUGCAUUAACUAAUGUUAACAAGAUUUUAAUAAAGUAAUUGUUGAAAUUAACAUUAACAAAGAUUAAUAAAGGCUGUAUAAGUGUAGUUCAUUAUUAGUUUAUGUUAACUAAUGUAGCUAACUAAUGUUAACUAAUGAACCUUAUUGUAAAGUGUUACCGUGAUUUCUUUUCAUCAUUUCAGACACAUGUAAAAGUUACUAAAAAUUAAUACUGCAUAUACUGUACAGUAUCUAUGCGUAAGGGAAAUAACUUAAACAAAAUUUUUAAUGUAUAGUGUAAUUAAGAGUUUAGCUGUUUAAUACAGAGAUGCAAUUUAUUUAUAUAUAUUAUUUAUAUAUAAACGUAUGUAUGUUUAUUAAAAAGUGAAAAUGCUUAAUGGAAAUAAUUAAAUAACUAAAUGGUUGAAUGUAAUGAGACAUUUUAAAUGUAAACUAAAGUUUUGCUGUCUAAUACAGAAUAAAGAGAUGUGAUUUUAAGUAA